GCACAUUUAAAAAAAUGACACAUUUAUUCAGCGUCAUGAUCAGACUAUUACAUUUAACAAUCAACAGCAUGGGCGCAAAAAAAAAAAAAAUCUACAUUAAAACUCUUUGCCCGUAUUUUAAUUGAGUUAUUUGUCUUUACAUUAUUGUGUUGAUACAGUUCUUUAUAUACUCAAGGGACACAUAUAUGAUUUGCACCUAUUCUCUUCAUACUGUGGGCUAUAUUUUUGCUUUUUUCUUUGAAGCACAAAAGUUUUUAAUUUUAACGGUGUCCAAUUUAUUUAUGUUUUCUUUUGUUGCUUGUGUUUUUGGUGCCGUAUCUAAGACAACAUUGCCUAACAGAAGGCCGUGAAGAUGUGUUUUCUUCUAAGAGUUCUGUGGGUUUAUCGGUUUAUCUUUUACAUUUAGGUCUUCGACUGAUUUUGAGUUAACUUUUGUAUAUGGAAUGAGCUAGGGGUCUAGCCCUACCUUACAUUCAUACCUAGUCACUGUGGGUUUAUCAGGGACCACCCGCCCUGCACAGCUGUGUCCCGCAGUUGAGGAGCGGGUGUCAGAAGGACAUAAAGACUCUUGAUUUCGGGGAAAACAAACACCUGCAUACCCGAAGCAAGAGCACGCUGGAGCUGGCGUCUGAACCCCUGGCCGGAGCCACGGCCCUCCUGCUCACACACUGAGCAGCCUUGGGCGGAUCACUGAAUCCCUAUCUAGGGCUCGCUUGCCUCACCUGUGAAAGGGGAGCUAAUUGGAAUAUGAACCCACGGGGCACGCGGGCAGCUCAGUCAAGCAGCCAACUCUCAAUUGGGGCUCAGGUCAUGAUCUCACGGUUCAUGGAAUCAAGCCCCAUGUCAGGUCUGUGCUAUUAGCCUGGAGCCUGGA
This is a long non-coding RNA of Herpailurus yagouaroundi (jaguarundi), 874 nucleotides long. RefSeq lists it as uncharacterized. The transcript has 3 exons. Lineage: Eukaryota; Metazoa; Chordata; Mammalia; Carnivora; Felidae. The record is from RefSeq and is a predicted model, not a curated record.